ACCUACGGGGGGCAGCAGUCGAGAAUCAUUCACAAUGGGGGAAACCCUGAUGGUGCGACGCAGCGUGGGGGAAUGAAGGUCUUCGGAUUGUAAACCCCUGUCAUGUGGGGGCAAAUUAAAAAGAUAGUACCUCAAGAGGAAGAGACGGCUAACUCUGUGCCAGCAGCCGCGGUAAUACAGAGGUCUCAAGCGUUGUUCGGAAUCACUGGGCGUAAAGCGUGCGUAGGCUGUUUCGUAAGUCGUGUGUGAAAGGCGCGGGCUCAACCCGCGGACGGCACAUGAUACUGCGAGACUAGAGUAAUGGA
Molecule: ribosomal RNA, 305 nt
Filed under: uncultured bacterium
Lineage: Bacteria
Description: bacterial SSU rRNA
Rfam family: Bacterial small subunit ribosomal RNA
Source: RNAcentral